This 406-nucleotide ribosomal RNA is filed under the name uncultured bacterium. RNAcentral's name for it is "partial 16S ribosomal RNA". It matches the Rfam family "Bacterial small subunit ribosomal RNA", at positions 30 to 526 of the family's 1533-position model. The record is from RNAcentral.
AUUGAACGCUGGCGGCAGGCCUAACACAUGCAAGUCGAACGAGUGGCGGACGGGUGAGUAAUGUCUGGGGAACUGCCCGAUGGAGGGGGAUAACUACUGGAAACGGUAGCUAAUACCGCAUACCAUCGGAUGUGCCCAGAUGGGAUUAGCUAGUAGGUGGGGUAAAGGCUCACCUAGGCGACGAUCCCUAGCUGGUCUGAGAGGAUGACCAGCCACACUGGAACUGAGACACGGUCCAGACUCCUACGGGAGGCAGCAUUGGGGAAUAUUGCACAAUGGGCGCAAGCCUGAUGCAGCCAUGCCGCGUGUAUGAAGAAGGCCUUCGGGUUGUAAAGUACUUUCAGCGUGGAGGCGUUACUCGCAGAAGAAGCACCGGCUAACUCCGUGCCAGCAGCCGCGGUAAUUC